Molecule: ribosomal RNA, 255 nt
Filed under: Klebsiella pneumoniae
Lineage: Bacteria; Pseudomonadati; Pseudomonadota; Gammaproteobacteria; Enterobacterales; Enterobacteriaceae
Description: partial 23S ribosomal RNA
Rfam family: Bacterial large subunit ribosomal RNA
Source: RNAcentral
GCGUAAUAGCUCACUGGUCGAGUCGGCCUGCGCGGAAGAUGUAACGGGGCUAAACUGUGCACCGAAGCUGCGGCAGCGACACUAUGUGUUGUUGGGUAGGGGAGCGUUCUGUAAGCCUGCGAAGGUGGCCUGUGAGGGUUGCUGGAGGUAUCAGAAGUGCGAAUGCUGACAUAAGUAACGAUAAAGCGGGUGAAAAGCCCGCUCGCCGGAAGACCAAGGGUUCCUGUCCAACGUUAAUCGGGGCAGGGUGAGUCG